UGUACGAUCUCACCAAACUGCACUACAGCACCCGAAGAGCUGACCGAACGAGACCGGAUAGAUCACCAGUGCACAUUUACAUUGUUCAAAUAAAUUCCUUUUUACCUUU
Long non-coding RNA from Melanotaenia boesemani (Boeseman's rainbowfish), 109 nucleotides. RefSeq lists it as uncharacterized. The transcript is spliced from 2 exons. Lineage: Eukaryota; Metazoa; Chordata; Actinopteri; Atheriniformes; Melanotaeniidae. The record is from RefSeq and is a predicted model, not a curated record.